GCCAGCAGCCAUAUCACCCUGCAACUCACAACUGACAACCCACCAAAGCAAAGCAGGUGUGAGCCUGGCCAGUAUGUGGAUGGAAGACCUCCUGGAAAAAACUAAGGCUGCUGCUGGAA
Molecule: ribosomal RNA, 119 nt
Filed under: Lepisosteus oculatus (spotted gar)
Lineage: Eukaryota; Metazoa; Chordata; Actinopteri; Semionotiformes; Lepisosteidae
Source: RNAcentral